This 477-nucleotide ribosomal RNA is filed under the name uncultured bacterium. RNAcentral describes it as "partial 16S ribosomal RNA". It matches the Rfam family "Bacterial small subunit ribosomal RNA", at positions 30 to 507 of the family's 1533-position model. The record is from RNAcentral.
AUUGAACGCUGGCGGCAUGCCUUACACAUGCAAGUCGAACGGUAACAGGUUAAGCGGUCGCGUGUCGAACUGGCGAGUAAUGUAUCGGAACGUGCUCAGUCGUAGUGGAUAACUUCUCGAAAGAGCAGCUAGGGCCGCAUACGACCUUACGGUGUAAGCGGUGCAUGGCAAAGCCGCGCGCGAUCGGAGCGUCCGAGAUCGGAUGAGCUAGUUGGCGAGGUACAGGCUCACCAAGGCGACGAUCUGUAGCUGGUCUGAGAGGAUGACCAGCCACACUGGGACUGAGACACGGUCCAGACUCCUACGGGAGGCAGCAGUGGGGAAUAUUGGACAAUGGGCGCAAGCCUGAUCCAGCCAUACCGCGUGGGUGAAGAAGGCCUUCGGGUUGUAAAGCCCUUUUGUUGGGAAAGAAAAGCAGCAGGUUAAUACCCCGCUGUUCUGACGGUACCCAAAGAAUAAGCACCGGCUAACUUCGUG